This 381-nucleotide ribosomal RNA is filed under the name uncultured eukaryote. RNAcentral describes it as "SSU rRNA". It matches the Rfam family "Eukaryotic small subunit ribosomal RNA", at positions 587 to 972 of the family's 1831-position model. The record is from RNAcentral.
AACUCCAAUAGCGUAUAUUAAAGUUGUUGCUGUUAAAAAGCUCGUAGUUGGAUUUCUGCCGAGGACGAUCGGUCCGCCCUCUGGGUGAGCAUCUGGCUCGGCUUGGGCAACUUCUUGGAGAACGUAGUUGCACUUGACUGUGUGGUGCGGUAUCCAGGACUUUUACUUUGAGGAAAUUAUAGUGUUUCAAGCAGGCACACGCGUUGAAUACGUUAGCAUGGAAUAAUAAGAUAGGACCCCAGUUCUAUUUUGUUGGUUUCUAGAGCUGAGGUAAUGAUUAAUAGGGAUAUUUGGGGGCAUUUGUAUUUAACUGUCAGAGGUUAAUUUCUUGGAUGUGUUAAAGACUGACUACUGCGAAACCAUUUGCCAAGGAUGUUUUCU